GAUGAAGAACGCAGUGAAAUGCGAUAAGUAAUGUGAAUUACAGAAUUCAGUGAAUCAUCGAAUCUUUGAACGCACAUUGCGCUCCCUGGUAUUCCGGGGAGCAUGCCUGUUCGAGCGUCAUUACAACCCUCAAGCUCUGCUUGGUGUUGGGCCCCGCCGCCCCGUCGGGCCCUAAAGUCAGUGGCGGUGCCGUCCGGCUCCGAGCGUAGUAAUUUUUCUCGCUUUGGAGGCCCGGGCGCGUGCUUGCCAUCAACCCCCAAUUUUUUUCAGGUUGACCUCGGAUCAGGUAGGGAUACCCGCUGAACUUAAGCAUAUCAAUAAGCGGAGGA
This 329-nucleotide unclassified non-coding RNA is filed under the name soil metagenome. Its description in RNAcentral is "partial contains 5.8S ribosomal RNA, internal transcribed spacer 2, and large subunit ribosomal RNA". The stretch from base 1 to 120 matches the Rfam family "5.8S ribosomal RNA", at positions 35 to 154 of the family's 154-position model. The record is from RNAcentral.